Molecule: unclassified non-coding RNA, 402 nt
Filed under: fungal sp.
Lineage: Eukaryota; Fungi
Description: partial internal transcribed spacer region
Rfam family: Eukaryotic small subunit ribosomal RNA (bases 1-46)
Source: RNAcentral
AAGUCAUAACAAGGUUUCCGUAGGUGAACCUGCGGAAGGAUCAUUAACACGUAUCCACGUUAAACCCCCCUGUGCACUUUCGGCAAAAAACCUACUAGUUCUGAUCUUGACCUUAGAGUCGAUCAAUAAUUCGAUAGAAGGCUCUUUGUUGGGAGGCCAUGAAAUGGAGAAUUGAUACGGUAAUACUAUUUCAUUCUCUGUUUCAUAAUGCGUCUUCGGCCGAGGCAUACUUGUCGUGGUCUUACCUUGGAACUAGGGUCCGGAAAUUGACCCACAAGUUCCGUGUACGGCUUUCCAAAAAGUGGUGUGAAAUGAAGCACUGCUGUCAAACUUGACUAAACCCACCAACGCGCAGGCCAAAAGCCGAGCGUCGGAAACCCCGCACAACUGUUCUUGGCUCUC